CACGAACUGUGCAAACGUUAUUCGGAAUCACUGGGCUUAAAGAGUUCGUAGGCGGCGCGUUAAGUCGGGUGUGAAAUCCCUCGGCUCAACCGAGGAAUUGCGCCCGAAACUGGCGCGCUUGAGUGAGAUAGAGGUGAGCGGAACUGAUGGUGGAGCGGUGAAAUGCGUUGAUAUCAUCAGGAACACCGGUGGCGAAGGCGGCUCACUGGGUCUCAACUGACGCUGAGGAACGAAAGCUAGGGUAGCGAACGGG
Molecule: ribosomal RNA, 253 nt
Filed under: uncultured bacterium
Lineage: Bacteria
Description: partial 16S ribosomal RNA
Rfam family: Bacterial small subunit ribosomal RNA
Source: RNAcentral